Molecule: ribosomal RNA, 253 nt
Filed under: uncultured bacterium
Lineage: Bacteria
Description: partial 16S ribosomal RNA
Rfam family: Bacterial small subunit ribosomal RNA
Source: RNAcentral
UACGUAGGGGGCAAGCGUUGUCCGGACUUACUGGGCGUAAAGCGCGUGCAGGCGGAUUGGUAUGUGCCGUGUGAAAGCUCCCGGCUUGCCUGGGAGAGGUCGCGGUAGACAGCCGAUCUGGAGGCUCGGAGAGGUCAGUGGAAUUCCCGGUGUAGUGGUGAAAUGCGUAGAUAUCGGGAAGAACACCCGUGGCUAAGGCGGCUCUCUAGUACGGUACUGACGCUGAGACGCGAAAGCGUGGGGAGCGAACAGG